AUGGGGUGCAGCAGGGGCGAAAACUUUACAAUGCGGGAAACCGUGAUAAGGGGACCUCGAGUGCCAGCAUAUUAUGUUGGCUGUCCAGAUGCCUAAAUAGCAUUUGAUAGCAAGGGCCGGGCAAGACCGGUGCCAGCCGCCGCGGUAACACCGGCGGCCCGAGUGGUAACCGUUAUUAUUGGGUCUAAAGGGUCCGUAGCCGGCCAAGUAAGUCCCUUGGGAAAUCUGGCAGCUUAACUGUCAGGCUGCCAGGGGAUACUGCUUGGCUUGGGACCGGGAGAGGUGAGAGGUACCUCAGGGGUAGGGGUGAAAUCUUGUAAUCCUUGAGGGACCACCAGUGGCGAAGGCGUCUCACCAGAACGGGUCCGACGGCAAGGGACGAAAGCUAGGGGCACGAACCGGAUUAGAUACCCGGGUAGUCCUAGCCGUAAACGAUACUCGCUAGGUGUCAGCCACGGUGCGACCGUGGUUGGUGCCGUAGGGAAGCCGUGAAGCGAGCCACCUGGGAAGUACGGCCGCAAGGCUGAAACUUAAAGGAAUUGGCGGGGGAGCAC
Molecule: ribosomal RNA, 554 nt
Filed under: uncultured euryarchaeote
Lineage: Archaea; Methanobacteriati; Methanobacteriota
Description: bacterial SSU rRNA
Rfam family: Archaeal small subunit ribosomal RNA
Source: RNAcentral